UCCGGUCCCCACCCCACCCCCGCCGCGGGCGCCAUUGUUGUGCGGGGCGGGUCUGAUCGCGCCGCCGCGGCCGCCAUCUUUGUGUGGGGCAGACCCCUUGCCUGCUUCCGGGAGGUGAACGCCGGGAGGCCGCUGGAUGAGAAAAUAGGCUCAGAGGGAAAGAGAUUUGUCCAAGGAUAUAAUACGCAGUUAGUAAGGCUCAACUCGGACUCCAAAGCCAAACUCCUCUAACCACAACGCCCACUCUAAAGACCAGCCCAGAGGUCAACCAACCUGCUCAUCUUUCCUCAUCUUGACCUGUGUUAAGUGCCUCAGGAGAAUGACAGCACCGCGGGCACCGCCCCCAACAGCCAGCAGGUUUUCCUGCUGUCAGCUGGCUCCAGCGUCAACAAUGCAGGAUGCAUUUUGGAACUCCAGGUAUUUGAAAGUGGAACGCACGAUUGCAUAUACGAUAAUUAAUAGCGCGAUUGAAAGGGUUUUGUCUCGCUCUGAGCACAGCUGUUUCCUCCUGACCCGGGGCCAAUAUUAAGAGAAAGUCAACGUAUUUACGAACGAGAUUUAAUAAUGCUCACAAGAAUAGUCUGCCCUCAAAUAGGGAAACGACACAUUGUUUUGUUUCAAAAGGUUAUAAAUGCGGUGCCUGAAAAAUCCAGCAGGUAAGCAACAGGACUAAGGGUCUGUUUUUGGAACUGUCUGCUAGCAAAUACGCAAACUCCUGUCCAGGAAGCGUUUUGUUGGGGCGGCAG
Long non-coding RNA from Ailuropoda melanoleuca (giant panda), 746 nucleotides. RefSeq lists it as uncharacterized. The record is from RefSeq and is a predicted model, not a curated record. NCBI's taxonomy places the organism in Eukaryota, Metazoa, Chordata, Mammalia, Carnivora, Ursidae. The transcript has 3 exons.